RNAcentral lists this long non-coding RNA (1653 nucleotides) under Marmota monax (woodchuck). The stretch from base 598 to 681 matches the Rfam family "mir-221 microRNA precursor family". Lineage: Eukaryota; Metazoa; Chordata; Mammalia; Rodentia; Sciuridae. The record is from RNAcentral.
CUUUUGUAAUCAGCAGCUACAUCUGGCUACUGGGUCUCUGACGGCAUCAUUUGGCUUCUGUUACAGUGCCGUGAGCAAGAUCAUUUGGGCAGUCUUUAAUAAUGAAGGCUUUAUAUUGAGUUAUACAUGUACACACACACAUACACACAGACUUUUGAGGUAUAAGACUUCCAUUAUUAGCUGGGUUUAGGAAACUGGCUGUCUGAAUGAUGAAGUAUAUUUAUUUGCUUUUGAUAUCAGAAGUCGGUAGAAUCUGGAUAUUCUUACAGUCUGCAUUAGAUACCAUCUACCCAUCCACCCACUCAUAUACCUGCCUACCUGACCAUCCAUACAUUCAUCUAUGUACACAUCUCUUUACUUUUAAAGGGUGUUUUCAAAAUAACAGGAUGAUUAAAUAAUGACAACUUGAUAUGAUAUUUUCAGGUAAUUUCAUUUGUACUGAGUCCCCAAACUUCUGACUUGAGGUUGCCUUUUUUCCUUAUGGUUGCCUUUUUUCCUUGUGGUAGAGAACACAUAACAAUUUUGACAUCUUGAAUGCAGCAGGCAAUUCUUUUGAAACAGUUCAUGUGGAAAACUCCUGGGCUGAAUAUCCAGGUCUGUGGCAUGAACCUGGCAUACAAUGUAGAUUUCUGUGUUUAUUUGGCAACAGCUACAUUGUCUGCUGGGUUUCAGGCUACCUGGAAACAUGUUCUCCACUGGCUGUCUCAUCAGUGCUUUACCUUUAAUAUUGCUGAAAAACUUCCAGGAGGCAUAAAUCACUGGAGUUUAUACCAUUGGACAGAGUAUAAAGAAAGCACCCCAUGGAAGCUGAUCACCUUAGCACAGAACGAUUUCAUUAUGAUUUCACCCACAGUAGUGUCACAUACCAGCCUAUUAAAAUGAAUGAAUCAGGGAUAAGGUAUAAUGUCAUCUUUCUUUUGUCUGCCACAACUGUUAGUGAUUGGUCACUUAAAUGUCACUAUGAAUUGUUAUUUGAUUUCUAUUUGUAAUUACUUUCUUCAGAAAGUGUAGCAACCUAAUCACAUUGCCCUACUCCUUCAUUGUAACUCCCAUUUUAGCUUCUCACUGACCUGCAGGAGCAUGUUUUUAUUUUUUCCCCUCGAUUUGCCCUUACCCCGUAACAUUUAUGAUCCCUCAGUCUCCCCAGAACCUGAAUCUUUCACUCUCCCCUGGCAUCCCACUCAUUCCCUGAAAGUGAAUUCUAGAAGUUAAAUAAAGUCGACUAUUGACCACUCUUCACUAUCUUAUGAAACUGGAAGAACCAUCUAGAACUAAACACCCUGAAGAGAAUGAAAGUAGCUUCUGGAAAACACAGGUUUUACAUUAAGUUUUAUUUGCCUGCCCUUUGUGAAAAAAUUUAAUCCUGUAAACAUCUGUUCAAAGAAACUGUCAAUAUAGACUAUAUAAAAUUCUCAAUAAUAAAAGAAUAAACCUUUUAAAGGGAAUUUAUUAAAUCUUGAUUUAUAUGGAAAUUUUUAGUAAGACACCAUGUAUUUUACAUUAAUGUGGAUUAAAGUAGAAAACAAAUACAAGGAGUGCAAAGAUCAGUGUCUGCAUGUAAUACUCAAUUUUAGUGGUAACAUUUGUUUUUGUCACCCCAUGUUGAAUUCAGUCAAAAUAAAGCUAAUGGAAUGGACUAUUAUGUGUGUGUGU